UUUAUUAUUACUUAAAAGUAUGUCUAUUCACUUUGUUUACUAUUCAAUUCAAGUUCAUUUUCCACCAUGAGGUGCAGGCUAAAUUUCUCAUAAGAUAGUGCUAAUUUGAUUACUUGCACUUUCCAAGAUACUUGAGCUUUGUAAAGGAAUAGGUGCCAUAUCUAAUUUGCUAAAGAAUAGAUGCUAUAUCUAAUUUCAUUAUGCAUAAUCAUAUAAAAAUUUUGGAGAUGAGCUACAUGAGUGUUUGUUAUUUGGAGUUCAGUAUCAGUACUUGAUUUAAA
RNAcentral lists this long non-coding RNA (281 nucleotides) under Olea europaea (common olive). RNAcentral describes it as "long non-coding RNA (OEUR_LNC002961)". Lineage: Eukaryota; Viridiplantae; Streptophyta; Magnoliopsida; Lamiales; Oleaceae. The record is from RNAcentral.